This 602-nucleotide long non-coding RNA is filed under the name Erythranthe guttata (spotted monkey flower). RNAcentral's name for it is "long non-coding RNA (EGUT_LNC002447)". Lineage: Eukaryota; Viridiplantae; Streptophyta; Magnoliopsida; Lamiales; Phrymaceae. The record is from RNAcentral.
CAAAGGACAAAAGAGUACAAACAAUCAACCCUCAAUCUGUGACAAGAUUUACUUUAAUUACAUUUUUAACAAUCAAAUCAUUACACUUUCUGGUAGGUGAGUUGUUGUGUUGGGGAUCAUAAUUAACCACACCAGUCAACAUAAUAUAUAUAAUUAAAAUAGACCUAUUUAAUUAGAGAUAGGUUAAUUCAGAUUAUAUAAUAAUUAAUAUACAAUUUACUCAAUAUUAUAUAUUUAUAUAUAAAAUACAUCACACAAGCAAAGUACAACAACAUUAAAAAAGCCCAUAUUUCAGUCCUUCCAAUAUUGCAAAGUAUGCAGCUGUGGAUCGGAGAACACACAAAAAGGAAAAAAAAAAAAAAAAAAAUAAAGGAGCACAUAAAUAAAUCUAUAGUUUCAUUUUGCUAACACUUGAACAUAAUUUAAGAAACCAUAAUCAUCAAUGGCAUUUCUGUAAAUAAACUGUUUUUUUUAAAUCUCAAGGCAUGUUGUUUUCUUCUUCAUAUUGAUACUGAUCUUCUUGGUUCUGAUAUCCUCCCAUGGCGUUUUCGCGGUUAAACUCACCGGCGUUGUUUUCGCUGUUGUUUUCGUAAUAUUUCUGU